GUGUUUUGCAAACAAAACUAAUUGUUUAUGCCUCCAGUUGAAUCAGGAAAAUGCACUCUGACCUCCAUGGAGACAAAAGCAACUGAUAUGAAAGUAUGUGUAACUGCCACAGUGGGUGUUUGCACCUUAUUUACGUUCGUCUGUGUUUUUAUGGCAUGUAUUGUUAUAUUGCCUGUUAUAUAACACUCACCAUGGGUGGCGCUGUACUUGGUUGGGUUGUGUGACUGAGAGAGAAGAAAAUGAAGAAGAAGAGACUGAUGGAAGUUAAACACACAGUUUAAGUUUUUGAAGAUUGUGGACCUUAUUUUGUGCUUGGACAAGGACCCAGUGUCAGUGCUUUAAUUCCUGUUGCACACAGCCAACAAGGCCUGAAUGUGGCAGAUGGAUGCAACCCAGACAACCAGAGAGGAGGGCCAGCGGUGUGUUGCCCCCGGGGCUCGGACCUGAUCAAAGCAGCGUCUGUCAGAUUGCAGUCUCAUAAAAAGGCACAUGUGUGGAGAUAAGCUGCGACACGUGUCUGGAAGCACUGGACGUCAUACAGACAGAAGCUGUGGUCCAGCCAGGUACAGGAGCUGAGGGGACCUGAGGGGAGCUGAGGAGACCUGAGGGGAGCUGAGGGGACCUG
Molecule: long non-coding RNA, 625 nt
Organism: Scatophagus argus
Lineage: Eukaryota; Metazoa; Chordata; Actinopteri; Scatophagidae
Exons: 4
Source: RefSeq, a predicted model, not a curated record